RNAcentral lists this small RNA (538 nucleotides) under Pongo abelii (Sumatran orangutan). RNAcentral's name for it is "processed transcript". Lineage: Eukaryota; Metazoa; Chordata; Mammalia; Primates; Hominidae. The record is from RNAcentral.
AUUGAUUGCAGCGGGCUGGGGGAGGGGCCGACGACGAAGGCGGCGGUGGUAGCGGCGGCGGCGGCGGAGCCCUGGGUCGGUGUCUGCGCGCUGGUGUCUGAGGCCCGGGCUGAGGCCUCCGCGAUUGCUGGAGCGCAGGCGGCGGAGAGGAUGACUGCCGCUGCCAUUCUCUCUUGAGCUAGCGAGCCGCCGCCACCCUCCACCCUCCCCAGGCAGGGCGGAGAGGAGCGGCCGGAGUCAGCGAUGGUGCCCGGCGAGGAGAACCAACUGGUCCCGAAAGAGAAAUGUAUUUUCUUUUUAAAUAGAAAAUGCUGCUGAAGAACCUAGAGUCUUAUGUAUUAUACAAGAUACUACUAAUUCAAAGACAGUGAAUGAACGGAUCACUUUAAAUUUACCAGCAUCUACUCCAGUCAGAAAGCUCUUUGAAGAUGUGGCCAACAAAGUAGGCUACAUAAAUGGAACCUUUGAUUUGGUGUGGGGAAAUGGAGUCAAUACUGCUGAUAUGGCACCACUGGAUCAUACCAGUGACAAGUCACUU